GAUGAAGAACGUAGCGAAAUGCGAUAAGUAAUGUGAAUUGCAGAAUUCAGUGAAUCAUCGAAUCUUUGAACGCACAUUGCGCCCAUUAGUAUUCUAGUGGGCAUGCCUGUUCGAGCGUCAUUAAGUCCACUUAAGCCCUGCUUAGUGUUGGGAGACUGCUCCAGCGGUGCUACCCUGUAGCUACCCUGCAGCUCCUCAAAGACAGCGGCGGAGUCGUGGUAUCCUCUGAGCUUAGUAACUUGUUCUAGCUUUCGAGUACACCACUUCCCCUGCCGUAAAACCCUUAAUUUUUAAUGGUUGACCUCGGAUCAGGUAGGAAUACCCGCUGAACUUAAGCAUAUCAAUAAGCGGAGGA
RNAcentral lists this unclassified non-coding RNA (355 nucleotides) under soil metagenome. RNAcentral describes it as "partial contains 5.8S ribosomal RNA, internal transcribed spacer 2, and large subunit ribosomal RNA". The stretch from base 1 to 120 matches the Rfam family "5.8S ribosomal RNA", at positions 35 to 154 of the family's 154-position model. The record is from RNAcentral.